CUACUCUUGACAUCCAGAGAACUUUCCAGAGAUGGAUUGGUGCCUUCGGGAACUCUGAGACAGGUGCUGCAUGGCUGUCGUCAGCUCGUGUUGUGAAAUGUUGGGUUAAGUCCCGCAACGAGCGCAACCCUUAUCCUUUGUUGCCAGCGGUUCGGCCGGGAACUCAAAGGAGACUGCCAGUGAUAAACUGGAGGAAGGUGGGGAUGACGUCAAGUCAUCAUGGCCCUUACGAGUAGGGCUACACACGUGCUACAAUGGCAUAUACAAAGAGAAGCGACCUCGCGAGAGCAAGCGGACCUCAUAAAGUAUGUCGUAGUCCGGAUUGGAGUCUGCAACUCGACUCCAUGAAGUCGGAAUCGCUAGUAAUCGUAGAUCAGAAUGCUACGGUGAAUACGUUCCCGGGCCUUGUACACACCGCCCGUCACACCAUGGGAGUGGGUUGCAAAAGAAGUAGGUAGCUUAACCUUCGGGAGGGCGCUUACCACUUUGUGAUUCAUGACUGGGGUGAAGUCGUAACAAGGUAACCAAGGGCGAAUUCUG
This 540-nucleotide ribosomal RNA is filed under the name uncultured Serratia sp. RNAcentral's name for it is "bacterial SSU rRNA". It matches the Rfam family "Bacterial small subunit ribosomal RNA", at positions 975 to 1515 of the family's 1533-position model. Lineage: Bacteria; Pseudomonadati; Pseudomonadota; Gammaproteobacteria; Enterobacterales; Yersiniaceae. The record is from RNAcentral.